This 557-nucleotide unclassified non-coding RNA is filed under the name Hevea brasiliensis (rubber tree). Lineage: Eukaryota; Viridiplantae; Streptophyta; Magnoliopsida; Malpighiales; Euphorbiaceae. The record is from RNAcentral.
GAAAGGGUCAGGAAUGGUGAUUGGUGGGAGUGGGAAUUUGCCUGCAUCUAUUUUUGGGAAGGAGAUGAUGAGGGAUAAAGAAGGUGAUUACGAAGGGAUGAAGAUGGAGUUUACUAGGAAUUAUAGGCAUGGUGAAUUAGGGGAGAAGUUGAAAAUGUUGAGGCCUGUAAAGAAGGAGGAGAAAGGUUGGUUUUCGUUACAUGAGUUGAACGAAAGAUUGAUGAAGGUGAGGGAAGCUGAUGAGAUCGAGAGCAAGACGAUGGUAGCUGGUGGCGUGUAUAAGGAUUUGAAAGAGUCUCUUUAUAUAAUCAGUCAGAAUGGUGAUUUGAAGUCCAAGUUUAAGAAGACAAUGAUUCAGAGACUUGAUGUCUUGGGGCAGCUGGGUGGUACUCCAAGCUUUAUGUUGCAUCCACCAAAAGAACACUUGGUUGAAAAGUUCUUUCACCCAGAUAACAUGUCAUCUGGGGAAAAAAUGAAACUGGAGCUACAAAAAGUUAGAGAUGAAUUUAAAAUGUCAGAGUCUGAUUGUGGAUCUGCUCGUGUUCAAGUGGCUCAGC